Molecule: ribosomal RNA, 468 nt
Filed under: uncultured bacterium
Lineage: Bacteria
Description: partial 16S ribosomal RNA
Rfam family: Bacterial small subunit ribosomal RNA
Source: RNAcentral
GACGAACGCUGGCGGCGUGCUUAACACAUGCAAGUCGAACGGAAAGGCCCUGCUUUUGUGGGGUGCUCGAGUGGCGAACGUGUGAGUAACACGUGAGUAACCUGCCCUUGACUUUGGGAUAACUUCAGGAAACUGGGGCUACUACCGGAUAGGAGCUCCUGCUGCAUGGUGGGGGUUGGAAAGUUUCGGCGGUUGGGGAUGGACUCGCGGCUUAUCAGCUUGUUGGUGGGGUAGUGGCUUACCAAGGCUUUGACGGGUAGCCGGCCUGAGAGGGUGACCGGCCCCAUUGGGAAUGAGAUACGGACCAGACUCCUACGGGAGGCAGCGGUGGGGAAUAUUGCAUAGUGGGAGGAAGCCUGAUGCAGCAACGCCGCGUGUGGGAUGACGGCCUUCGGGUUGUAAGCCGCUUUCGCCUGUGACGAAGCGUGAGUGACGGUAAUGGGUAAAGAAGCACCGGCUAACUACGUG